ACAUGCUUACAACAUAGUGUUAAUACACCAGAUCCCAUUAGAAAUCCAUAGUUAAGCAUGCUCAGGCUAGAGUAGUACUGGGAUGGGUGACCACUCGGGGAGUCUGAUCCGGAUUAUUUU
Molecule: non-coding RNA, 120 nt
Organism: Picea glauca (white spruce)
Lineage: Eukaryota; Viridiplantae; Streptophyta; Pinopsida; Pinales; Pinaceae
Source: Rfam